Molecule: ribosomal RNA, 440 nt
Filed under: uncultured bacterium
Lineage: Bacteria
Description: partial 16S ribosomal RNA
Rfam family: Bacterial small subunit ribosomal RNA
Source: RNAcentral
CCUACGGGUGGCAGCAGUGGGGAAUAUUGCACAAUGGGGGGAACCCUGAUGCAGCAACGCCGCGUGGGUGAAGAAGUAUUUCGGUAUGUAAAGCCCUGUCAGCAGGGAAGAAAGAGACGGUACCUCACGAAUAAGCACCGGCUAACUACGUGCCAGCAGCCGCGGUAAUACGGAGGGGGCAAGCGUUAUCCGGAUUUACUGGGUGUAAAGGGAGCGUAGACGGCAUAGCAAGUCAGGAGUGAAAGCCUGUGGCCCAACCACAGGACUGCACUGGAAACUGCUGUACUGGAGUGCAGGAGGGGUAAGCGGAAUUCCUAGUGUAGCGGUGAAAUGCGUAGAUAUUAGGAGGAACACCCGUGGCGAAGGCGGCUUACUGGACUGUAACUGACGUUGAGGCUCGAAAGCGUGGGGAGCAAACAGGAUUAGAUACCCCUGUAGUC